AAUGGUAACAUUAGAGAGAUGUGGUGUUUGUGCAUUAACGCAUACCUUUCAGUACUAGUUGAAGUAAUCUGGAAAGAUUCAACGUAGAGGGUGAUAUUCCCGUAAACAACGUACAUGGGAAGGUUAAUGUUUUUGUUACCGAGUAACUGGCCUUGACAGUGGCUAGUGAAUAUGGGGGAAAGCAGCCUCCAAGACUAAAUACAACUUAAGACCGAUAGUGAAUAGUAUCGUGAGAGAAAUCUGAAAAGUACCCUGAAAGGGGUGUGAAAAGCGCAUGAAACCAAAUAGUUACAUAAUUGUAUGGCUUGAAAGGAACAUUUUGUGUUUUACAUUUACUCGCAAGAGUUUUUGUAAUACGCGCGUUCUAGAGUUAUACAUUCCGUCUCGAAACACGGGCCAGGGAGUUUUUUGUUAUGGCGAGCCUAAAAGUUUAAGCUUGUAAGCGAAGGGAAACCGACAUUCUGCAUUUUUGAUUAUUCAAUUUGAGAGAAGGGGUCUGAAAGGGCCUUUAGUCAUAGCAUCAAGACUAGAAACUCCGCGAUCGUGCCUUGGGUAGGAUGAAGCCUGGAGAAAUCUGGGUAGAGGUCCGCAAUGGUCUUGACGUGCAAAUCAGUCACCUGACCUGAGGCAAGGGGCCAAAAGCCAAUCUAGCGGAGUGAUAGCUAGUUCCCACCGAAGUAGAUCUCAGUCUAGCCUAAGUGGACAUUGUUGGCGUUGUAGAGCACUGAUAGAAUUAGUUUGGGGGCUAACGCCCCUACUGUUCCUUCAAACUCCGAAUGUGCCAAUAUGUGAGAAACUUGGAGACGGGUUUAUGUGGGGUAAGCCUCAUAACCGAGAGGGGAGCAACCCAGACUAUAGUUAAGGUCCCAAAAUAUUAGCUAAGUGUCAAACGGAAGAGUGUGUUUGAGCGAAGACAGCAGGAAGGUAGGCUUAGAAGCAGCCACCCUUUAAAGAAUGUGUAACAACUCACCUGUCGAGUUCUUACGCCUCGAAAAUGGACGGGGCUAAAGUUAAUUACCGAUACUAUAGACCACGAAUUAUAUCGUGUGUGGUAGGUGGGCGUAGAGAGUGGAUAGAAGUAGGGUCGUGAGAUCCUAUGGACCGCUUUCUAUUGCAGAUCCUGGUGGUAGUAGCAGCGUAGUGAAGUGAGAAUCUUCAUCACCGUAGAAGCAAGGUUUUCCUGGCAACGCGUCGUCGACCAGGAGUUAGCCGGUCCUAAGUGUAAUCCGAAGGGACUUACACGAAUAGGGAAACAAGUUAAUAUUCUUGUGCCUUGGUGUAUUCGUUAAUUUAUAGUAUACGCUUCGAGAUAUGGUGAGCAGAGCCGUCGCUCUGUCUAAUUAUUCAAGGUUUAGGGAGUGUCGUAAUGACGAGAACUAUUCCGAGUUGAGAAUGGCCAACCAUUGGGUUGGUUCACUAAAUUCUGGGGGACAAUGAAAAUUAUUAUAAAUUGAAUAUACUGAGUCCGUACCAAGAUCCGACACUGGUGUCUUUAGGUUAGUAGCCUAAGGUGUAUGGAGUACAAAGUAGGCGAGGGAAUUCGGCAAAUUAGUCCUGUAACUUCGGAAGAAAGGAUACCUGCUUUUUUUAUGAGGAAUAGGGAUAGCAGGUCGCAGUGACAAGGGGGUCCCGACUGUUUAAUAAAAACACAGGAGACUGCUAGUCCGCAAGGAUGUGUAUAGUCUUUGAAACUUGGUCAGUGGCGGUACCUAAAACUCAAGUUCAAUUGAGCUAAGGGCCGCUUAACACCGGGAGUAACUCUGACUCUCUUAAGGUAGCCAAAUGCCUUGUCGGGUAAGUUCCGACGUGCAUGAAUAGUUCAACGAGGGCCCUACUGUCCCCGUCUGCAACUCCGUGAACCCACAUUAGGUGGACGAACAGUCCAUCGACUUCCAUCGGGAAGAGAAGUCCCUGUGGAGCUUUACUGCAGCUUGUUGUUGUGAUGCGGUUCUAAUUUCAGAGAGUAACCGGGAGCCGUUAUGCACAUACUUUUGGGUAUGUGAUAGGCAAAAGUGUAACACCGGUAUCUUAGAGUUACGUCACUAACCUCAUUUUGAGGGACAUCGGCAGGUGGGCAGUUCGGCUGGGGCGGCACCCCUUUGAAAAG
Molecule: ribosomal RNA, 2107 nt
Filed under: marine metagenome
Description: bacterial LSU rRNA
Rfam family: Archaeal large subunit ribosomal RNA
Source: RNAcentral